GCGGGAAGAGCUCAAAUUUGAAAUCUGGUAGCCUUCGGUUGCCCGAGUUGUAAUCUAGAGAAGUGUUUUCCGUGCCGGCCCAUGUACAAGUCCCUUGGAACAGGGCGUCAUAGAGGGUGAGAAUCCCGUCCUUGACAUGGACCCCCGGUGCUUUGUGAUACACUUUCAACGAGUCGAGUUGUUUGGGAAUGCAGCUCAAAAUGGGUGGUGAAUUCCAUCUAAAGCUAAAUAUUGGCGAGAGACCGAUAGCGAACAAGUACCGUGAGGGAAAGAUGAAAAGCACUUUGGAAAGAGAGUUAAACAGUACGUGAAAUUGUUGAAAGGGAAACGAUUGAAGUCAGUCAUGCUCUUGGGACUUACCUCCCUUGAGUGGGGUCAACAUCAGUUUUGAUCGAUGGAUAAAGGCACGGGGAAGGUAGCACUCUCGGGUGAACUUAUAGCCUCGCGUCAUAUACAUUGAUUGGGACUGAGGAACGCAGCAUGCCUUAUGGCCGGGAUUCGUCCACGUACAUGCUUAGGAUGUUGACAUAAUGGCUUUAAACGACCCGUCUUGAACAACGGGACCA
Molecule: ribosomal RNA, 566 nt
Filed under: Naganishia albida
Lineage: Eukaryota; Fungi; Basidiomycota; Tremellomycetes; Filobasidiales; Filobasidiaceae
Description: eukaryotic LSU rRNA
Rfam family: Eukaryotic large subunit ribosomal RNA
Source: RNAcentral